Molecule: ribosomal RNA, 520 nt
Filed under: uncultured bacterium
Lineage: Bacteria
Description: bacterial SSU rRNA
Rfam family: Bacterial small subunit ribosomal RNA
Source: RNAcentral
GGGAAUCUACCUAGUUCUACGGAACAACAGAGGGAAACUUCUGCUAAUACCGUAUACGCCCUAUGGGGGAAAGAUUUAUCGGAAUUAGAUGAGCCCGCGUAAGAUUAGCUAGUUGGUGAGGUAAUGGCUCACCAAGGCGACGAUCUUUAGCUGGUCUGAGAGGAUGAUCAGCCACACUGGGACUGAGACACGGCCCAGACUCCUACGGGAGGCAGCAGUGGGGAAUAUUGGACAAUGGGCGCAAGCCUGAUCCAGCCAUGCCGCGUGAGUGAUGAAGGCCUUAGGGUUGUAAAGCUCUUUCAGUGGGGAAGAUAAUGACGGUACCCACAGAAGAAGCCCCGGCUAACUUCGUGCCAGCAGCCGCGGUAAUACGAAGGGGGCUAGCGUUGUUCGGAUUUACUGGGCGUAAAGCGCACGUAGGCGGUUUGUUAAGUCAGGGGUGAAAUCCCAGAGCUCAACUCUGGAACUGCCUUUGAUACUGGCAAGCUCGAGUCCGGAAGAGGUAAGUGGAACUCCUAGU